AUCCUAAAGAGUAGACAACAUACGGAACCUGGCAUGACAAGACUGGAACGGACAGACUUUGCUGUGAAUAUCUAUAGUUGAUAGACGGAGCAGGACAGGAUGAGUAAAGAAGAGAAAUGUGGACAUGGCUUGGAUUUUACUGAUUUUGUUCAAUUUUUUAAUUUGAUUAAUAAAGCACAAUAUAUGACUGUAA
Molecule: long non-coding RNA, 193 nt
Organism: Lingula anatina
Lineage: Eukaryota; Metazoa; Brachiopoda; Lingulata; Lingulida; Lingulidae
Source: RefSeq, a predicted model, not a curated record